Molecule: non-coding RNA, 63 nt
Organism: Triticum aestivum (bread wheat)
Lineage: Eukaryota; Viridiplantae; Streptophyta; Magnoliopsida; Poales; Poaceae
Source: Rfam
GUCUUACACUUGAUCUCUGAACUUCAGGUAAGUUCGUGUCGACAUUAUAUCAGUCCUGAUGCA